Molecule: ribosomal RNA, 253 nt
Filed under: uncultured bacterium
Lineage: Bacteria
Description: partial 16S ribosomal RNA
Rfam family: Bacterial small subunit ribosomal RNA
Source: RNAcentral
UACGUAGGGUGCGAGCGUUGUCCGGAAUUAUUGGGCGUAAAGAGCUUGUAGGCGGUUUGUCGCGUCUGCUGUGAAAAUCCGGGGCUCAACCCCGGACUUGCAGUGGGUACGGGCAGACUAGAGUGUGGUAGGGGAGACUGGAAUUCCUGGUGUAGCGGUGAAAUGCGCAGAUAUCAGGAGGAACACCGAUGGCGAGGGCAGGUCUCUGGGCCACUACUGACGCUGAGAAGCGAAAGCAUGGGGAGCGAACAGG